RNAcentral lists this ribosomal RNA (434 nucleotides) under uncultured Rhodomicrobium sp. RNAcentral's name for it is "bacterial SSU rRNA". It matches the Rfam family "Bacterial small subunit ribosomal RNA", at positions 8 to 491 of the family's 1533-position model. Lineage: Bacteria; Pseudomonadati; Pseudomonadota; Alphaproteobacteria; Hyphomicrobiales; Hyphomicrobiaceae. The record is from RNAcentral.
AGAGUUUGAUCAUGGCUCAGAACGAACGCUGGCGGCAGGCCUAACACAUGCAAGUCGAACGCUCCGCAAGGAGAGUGGCAGACGGGUGAGUAACGCGUGGGAAUUUCCCCCAAGGUUCGGAAUAACUGAGGGAAACUUCAGCUAAUACCGAAUGGUACCGAGAGGUUAAAGAUUUAUCGCCUUGGGAUGAGCCCGCGUUGGAUUAGCUAGUUGGUGAGGUAACGGCUCACCAAGGCUUUGAUCCAUAGCUGGUCUGAGAGGACGACCAGCCACACUGGGACUGAGACACGGCCCAGACUCCUACGGGAGGCAGCAGUGGGGAAUCUUGGACAAUGGGCGCAAGCCUGAUCCAGCCAUGCCGCGUGGGCGAUGAAGGUCUUCGGAUUGUAAAGCCCUUUUGGCGGGGACGAUAAUGACGGUACCCGCAGAAUAGU